GCAGUCGUGGCCGAGUGGUUUAAGGCGAUGGACUACAUAUCCAUUGGGGUCCCCCCGCACAGUUUCGAAUCCUGUCGACUGCG
RNAcentral lists this transfer RNA (83 nucleotides) under Ixodes scapularis (black-legged tick). RNAcentral's name for it is "tRNA-Cys". It matches the Rfam family "tRNA". Rfam says of the family: Transfer RNA (tRNA) molecules are approximately 80 nucleotides in length. The record is from RNAcentral. Lineage: Eukaryota; Metazoa; Arthropoda; Arachnida; Ixodida; Ixodidae.